RNAcentral lists this ribosomal RNA (253 nucleotides) under uncultured bacterium. RNAcentral's name for it is "partial 16S ribosomal RNA". It matches the Rfam family "Bacterial small subunit ribosomal RNA", at positions 524 to 776 of the family's 1533-position model. The record is from RNAcentral.
UACGUAGGGUGCGAGCGUUGUCCGGAAUUACUGGGCGUAAAGAGCUCGUAGGUGGUUUGUCGCGUUGUCCGUGAAAACUCACAACUCAAUUGUGGGCGUGCGGGCGAUACGGGCAGACUGGAGUACUGCAGGGGAGACUGGAAUUCCUGGUGUAGCGGUGGAAUGCGCAGAUAUCAGGAGGAACACCGAUGGCGAAGGCGGGUCUCUGGGCAGUAACUGACGCUGAGGAGCGAAAGCGUGGGGAGCGAACAGG